This 371-nucleotide ribosomal RNA is filed under the name uncultured organism. RNAcentral's name for it is "partial 16S ribosomal RNA". It matches the Rfam family "Bacterial small subunit ribosomal RNA", at positions 527 to 896 of the family's 1533-position model. The record is from RNAcentral.
GUAGGUGGCAAGCGUUGUCCGGAAUUAUUGGGCGUAAAGCGCGCGCAGGCGGUUCUUUAAGUCUGAUGUGAAAGCCCACGGCUCAACCGUGGAGGGUCAUUGGAAACUGGAGAACUUGAGUACAGAAGAGGAAAGCGGAAUUCCACGUGUAGCGGUGAAAUGCGUAGAGAUGUGGAGGAACACCAGUGGCGAAGGCGGCUUUCUGGUCUGUAACUGACGCUGAGGCGCGAAAGCGUGGGGGAGCAAACAAGAUUAGAUACCCUGGUAGUCCACGCCGUAAACGAUGAGUGCUAAGUGUUAGGGGGUUUCCGCCCCUUAGUGCUGCAGCUAACGCAUUAAGCACUCCGCCUGGGAGUACGGCCGCAAGGCUG